This 99-nucleotide ribosomal RNA is filed under the name uncultured bacterium. RNAcentral's name for it is "partial 16S ribosomal RNA". It matches the Rfam family "Bacterial small subunit ribosomal RNA", at positions 1384 to 1482 of the family's 1533-position model. The record is from RNAcentral.
UACACACCGCCCGUCACACCAUGGGAGUCCGUUGCUCCAGAAAUUGGUGCGCCAACCGCAAGGGGGCAGCCACUUAAGGAGUGACUGGUAACUGGGGUG